Molecule: ribosomal RNA, 555 nt
Filed under: Salmonella enterica subsp. enterica serovar Infantis
Lineage: Bacteria; Pseudomonadati; Pseudomonadota; Gammaproteobacteria; Enterobacterales; Enterobacteriaceae
Also listed under: 2 other names
Description: partial 23S ribosomal RNA
Rfam family: Bacterial large subunit ribosomal RNA
Source: RNAcentral
AGACCCGAAACCCGGUGAUCUAGCCAUGGGCAGGUUGAAGGUUGGGUAACACUAACUGGAGGACCGAACCGACUAAUGUUGAAAAAUUAGCGGAUGACCUGUGGCUGGGGGUGAAAGGCCAAUCAAACCGGGAGAUAGCUGGUUCUCCCCGAAAGCUAUUUAGGUAGCGCCUCGUGAAUUCAUCUCCGGGGGUAGAGCACUGUUUCGGCUAGGGGGCCAUCCCGGCUUACCAACCCGAUGCAAACUGCGAAUACCGGAGAAUGUUAUCACGGGAGACACACGGCGGGUGCUAACGUCCGUCGUGAAGAGGGAAACAACCCAGACCGCCAGCUAAGGUCCCAAAGUCAUGGUUAAGUGGGAAACGAUGUGGGAAGGCCCAGACAGCCAGGAUGUUGGCUUAGAAGCAGCCAUCAUUUAAAGAAAGCGUAAUAGCUCACUGGUCGAGUCGGCCUGCGCGGAAGAUGUAACGGGGCUAAACCAUGCACCGAAGCUGCGGCAGCGACACUCAGGUGUUGUUGGGUAGGGGAGCGUUCUGUAAGCCUGCGAAGGUGGCCU